GCCGGUGAUAUUAGCGAUGAAGAAACACCCGUUCCCAUUUCGAAUACGGAAGUUAAGCUCCUCAGCGCCGAUGGUACUAUAGUGGCAACGCUACGGGAGAGUAGGACAUUGCCGGCU
RNAcentral lists this ribosomal RNA (117 nucleotides) under Candidatus Omnitrophota bacterium. Lineage: Bacteria; Pseudomonadati; Candidatus Omnitrophota. The record is from RNAcentral.